This 434-nucleotide ribosomal RNA is filed under the name uncultured archaeon. RNAcentral describes it as "bacterial SSU rRNA". It matches the Rfam family "Archaeal small subunit ribosomal RNA", at positions 19 to 458 of the family's 1478-position model. The record is from RNAcentral.
GGACCUGACUGCUAUCGGAUUGAUACUAAGCCAUGCGAGUCAUUGUAGCAAUACAAGGCAUACGGCUCAGUAACGCGUAGUCAACCUAACCUAUGGACGGGAAUAACCUCGGGAAACUGAGAAUAAUGCCCGAUAGAACAUUAUGCCUGGAAUGGUUUAUGUUCCAAAUGAUUUAUCGCCGUAGGAUGGGACUGCGGCCUAUCAGUUUGUUGGUGAGGUAAUGGCCCACCAAGACUAUUACAGGUACGGGCUCUGAGAGGAGUAGCCCGGAGAUGGGUACUGAGACACGGACCCAGGCCCUAUGGGGCGCAGCAGGCGAGAAAACUUUGCAAUGUGCGAAAGCACGACAAGGUUAAUCCGAGUGGUUUCUGCUAAAGGAACCUUUUGUCAGUCCUAGAAACACUGUAGAAUAAGGGGUGGGCAAGUUCUGGUGU